GUUCCGCACUUAAAGCAGGCGCAGCUUUGUGUUCCGCGCUUUUGUGGAACACCCGGGGGCUGGAACCGCACGCAGCGCAGGGCCCGCUCCAUAUGGAGCAGCCGGGAGCC
Molecule: long non-coding RNA, 110 nt
Organism: Cervus elaphus (red deer)
Lineage: Eukaryota; Metazoa; Chordata; Mammalia; Artiodactyla; Cervidae
Exons: 3
Source: RefSeq, a predicted model, not a curated record